GUGAAUCAUCGAAUCUUUGAACGCAAAUUGCACUCUCUUCGGAGAGUAUGCCUGUUUGAGGGUCAGUAUUAAUAAAAAUCGGUGUGUUGCUUCUUUGUGACGCUCCGGAGUUUGGGUCAUCUUAAUAUCCUUUAGGUUUUAAGAGGCUUAAAAUUGACUUUUUUUGGGAUUUUAGGUUGUAAUUAAAUUUUUUUUUUAUUUGGUUUUUUUAAAUGUCCAAAUUCUAUUAGAUGCGAC
RNAcentral lists this unclassified non-coding RNA (237 nucleotides) under Rhizophagus sp. (in: glomeromycetes). Its description in RNAcentral is "partial contains 5.8S ribosomal RNA and internal transcribed spacer 2". The stretch from base 1 to 65 matches the Rfam family "5.8S ribosomal RNA", at positions 84 to 154 of the family's 154-position model. The record is from RNAcentral. Lineage: Eukaryota; Fungi; Glomeromycota; Glomeromycetes; Glomerales; Glomeraceae.